Molecule: non-coding RNA, 558 nt
Filed under: Loa loa (African eye worm)
Lineage: Eukaryota; Metazoa; Nematoda; Chromadorea; Rhabditida; Onchocercidae
Description: Eukaryotic small subunit ribosomal RNA
Rfam family: Eukaryotic small subunit ribosomal RNA
Source: Rfam by way of RNAcentral
CUGAUUAAUUUUGUCAGCGGUUAAAUACUUGUCUCAAAGGGCAAGCCAUGUAUGUUUAAGUCCAAAUAAACCUAUAAUGGUGACAGCUAUAAUGUAAUUGAUGUUGAUUAUUCAACCUGGAUAACUGUAGUAAUCCUAGAGCUAAUAUAUACAUCAAAGCUCCGAAUUUAGAACGAGUUCAUCUAUUAAAUUAAAAUCAGUCGGGUUAUUAGCCCGUUAAUUGGUGACUCUGAAAUAGCUAUGGCUGAUCGCAUGGUCUUGUACUGGCGACAUAUCUAUCAAGCUGUCUGACUUAUUUCGAUGGUAAUUUAUGUAAUGUACCAUGGUUGUAACGGGUAACGGAGAAUAAGGGUUCGACUCCGGGGACAGUGUCUGAGAAACAGCUGCCACAUCCAAAGAAGGUAGCAGACGCACAAAUUACCUACUCUCAGAAUGAGGUAGUGAAAGAAAAUAAUGGGACCGUUCUCUUUGAGGUCGAUUAUCAGAACAAUGAUUUAUGAGAGGGCAAGUCUGGUUCUGCCAGUAGCUGCGAUGAUACCAGCUCUCAAAAUGUGUAUC